Molecule: ribosomal RNA, 227 nt
Filed under: uncultured bacterium
Lineage: Bacteria
Description: partial 16S ribosomal RNA
Rfam family: Bacterial small subunit ribosomal RNA
Source: RNAcentral
UGAGUAACGCGUAUCCAACCUGCCGUCUACUCUUGGACAGCCUUCUGAAAGGAAGAUUAAUACAAGAUGGCAUCAUGAGUCCGCAUGUUCACAUGAUUAAAGGUAUUCCGGUAGACGAUGGGGAUGCGUUCCAUUAGAUAGUAGGCGGGGUAACGGCCCACCUAGUCUUCGAUGGAUAGGGGUUCUGAGAGGAAGGUCCCCCACAUUGGUACUGAGACACGGACCAA